RNAcentral lists this unclassified non-coding RNA (334 nucleotides) under uncultured fungus. Its description in RNAcentral is "sequence contains ITS1". The stretch from base 1 to 103 matches the Rfam family "5.8S ribosomal RNA", at positions 50 to 154 of the family's 154-position model. The record is from RNAcentral. Lineage: Eukaryota; Fungi.
GAAAUGCGAUACGCAAUGCGAAUUGCAGAAUUCCGCGAGUCAUCAGAUCUUUGAACGCAAGUGGCGCUGGCCGUCAAACGCCAGCAUGCUUGUUUCAGUGUGUUAGGAAUCACACAUCCCAAUGCGAUUGACGAGGUUAUUCACUUAAUCUUUUCUCUCGUUAAACACGACGGCGCCGAGCUUUUUGCGCGGCCGAAAUGAUGUAGUCACUUCCUCGGAAAGUGAUCUCGUUUCGGGUACCGGCGGGCUCACUUAAGGCGUUUUCCGUAUAUAAAACGUUUACAUUAAAACUCCACGACACCUGAAAUCAAGCAAGAUCACCCGCUGAACUUAA